UACAGAGACUGCAAGCGUUAUUCGGAUUCACUGGGCGUAAAGGGUGCGCAGGCGGCCGUGUGUGUGAGGCGUGAAAGCCCGGGGCUUAACCCCGGAAUUGCACCUCAAACUACACGGCUAGAGCAUUGGAGAGGGUAGCAGAAUUCACGGUGUAGCAGUGAAAUGCGUAGAUAUCGUGAGGAAUACCAGAGGCGAAGGCGGCUACCUGGACAAUUGCUGACGCUCAGGCACGAAAGCGUGGGGAGCAAACAGG
RNAcentral lists this ribosomal RNA (253 nucleotides) under uncultured bacterium. Its description in RNAcentral is "partial 16S ribosomal RNA". It matches the Rfam family "Bacterial small subunit ribosomal RNA", at positions 524 to 776 of the family's 1533-position model. The record is from RNAcentral.